GGCCGUAUGGUGCAAUGGUUAUACACACCUGGCAGUGCUCUCGCUGCCAUGAGAAGCAAGCGGGUUCGAAUCCCGCUACGGCCU
This is a non-coding RNA of Xylaria intraflava, 84 nucleotides long. The record is from the annotation of a GenBank genome assembly. NCBI's taxonomy places the organism in Eukaryota, Fungi, Ascomycota, Sordariomycetes, Xylariales, Xylariaceae.